AUGCUCAAUUUCCCACUUAGUGAAAGCUGGCUUGCAGAGGUUGGUGCCUCCAAGAAAUUCUCUCUUCAGCUCAGAGUUAGCCAAGGCCCAGCUCCUGGGAGGUCCCUCCUCACCUCACAGAACAGAGGAGGUUCCCACCUCCCCAUCCAUGUGAGAUUGUCAAGUUUUUCUGAUCCUUUACUUACAAUUAGGCUUACCCCUAAAUUGAAAGAGGUGUGUGUGGGGGGGGGUGGGGGGGGUGGGGAGAGGUUCAGUCUAACUUCCUGUGACCUGAACAAACUGACAGUUCCUGACAGUCUGAAUUUUAUCUUUCCACCCUGGGAGCCACACAGCCGAAUUCUAUUUCUUAGCCAAACAAACCAACUACAGAGAGUCCAUUAUGUUGCCGCUUCAAAACAGGAAGCGGAGGUUAGAGACGCCAAUAGCUGGUUUUACAUAAUGAGGGAUGCUUGGGGCUGCAGAGCCAGCCCAGGCCCGGGGCUCCUCUCCUUCCACCCGGGAGCCUUUGUUCAGCUCCGACGCCCCACCACACCCGCAGACCUGGAGGACCAGCCUCCUUCCCGGGGGGAAUGCCCGGCCCCCACAUCUGGCGCGCGUUGGGCCUGCAGAGGAGUCGCGCUGCCCUUCCUGCGCCCUGGCCCUGCGAGCCGAGCCGCCGAGCCUCCGAGAACGCUUCCAAGUACACUCCCCACUCCUCCACUCUCCGAUGUGUCUCUGGGGCGAGUCUGCCUCCGGGCCCCACGUAGGUGGGCCCGACCGCAGAGGGAGAGCUCCCUGACCCCGAUGGAUACCGGCAAAGGAAGAAGAGAGUGUGUGCAGAGGGGCCAGAUGGGAGGGAGCAGAGGACCAGGAGGAGAAGGGCACCGGCCACCCCUCUGCACCUCCACGGUCACCCUCGCUGGAUGCGGCCAGCGCUUCCCUUUGGAACCUUGGCUCCAGCGACCACAAAGAGCCUUCCAAAAGGCCACAGGGAGGUCUACAUUUGAAAAACCCAUCAUUUCCCGGCUGCUGCGCGCCAGAGCAACCUAA
This 1029-nucleotide long non-coding RNA is filed under the name Canis lupus dingo (dingo). RNAcentral's name for it is "lncRNA (ENSCAFG00020026740.1)". The record is from RNAcentral. Lineage: Eukaryota; Metazoa; Chordata; Mammalia; Carnivora; Canidae.